CUAACUCAAAUUUGUAUGGAGUUGGAACGUUUGCCUAUGUAUUCCGCUAGGGGCGAUGUUCCAAACGCAUACAAAUAUUUGAUUUA
This is a non-coding RNA of Bombyx mori (domestic silkworm), 86 nucleotides long. Lineage: Eukaryota; Metazoa; Arthropoda; Insecta; Lepidoptera; Bombycidae. The record is from Rfam.